This 508-nucleotide ribosomal RNA is filed under the name uncultured bacterium. Its description in RNAcentral is "bacterial SSU rRNA". It matches the Rfam family "Bacterial small subunit ribosomal RNA", at positions 18 to 518 of the family's 1533-position model. The record is from RNAcentral.
UCUGGUUCAGAUUGAACGCUGGCGGCAGGCUUAAUACAUGCAAGUCGAACGGUAGCAGCAGGAAGGCUUGCCUUCUGGCUGACGAGUGGCGGACGGGUGAGUAAUACCUGGGAAACUGCCUAUAAGAGGGGGACAACACCUGGAAACGGGUGCUAAUACCGCAUAAGCCCUGAGGGGAAAAGGAUGGGAAACCAUGCGCUUAUAGAUGUGCCCAGGAGGGAUUAGCUAGUUGGGGAGGUAAAGGCUCACCAAGGCGACGAUCUCUAGCUGGUCUGAGAGGAUGAUCAGCCACAUUGGGACUGAGACACGGCCCAAACUCCUACGGGAGGCAGCAGUAGGGAAUAUUGCACAAUGGGGGGAACCCUGAUGCAGCCAUGCCGCGUGUGUGAAAGAAGGCCUUCGGGUUGUAAAGCACUUUCAGCGGGGAGGAAGGCUGGAGCUCCAACAGGGCUUUCAGUCAGACGUUACCCGCAGAAGAAGCGCCGGCUAACUCCGUGCCAGCCGCCGC